Molecule: ribosomal RNA, 492 nt
Filed under: uncultured bacterium
Lineage: Bacteria
Description: partial 16S ribosomal RNA
Rfam family: Bacterial small subunit ribosomal RNA
Source: RNAcentral
UAGGGAAUCUUCCACAAUGGGCGCAAGCCUGAUGGAGCAACACCGCGUGAGUGAAGAAGGGUUUCGGCUCGUAAAGCUCUGUUGUUAAAGAAGAACACGUAUGAGAGUAACUGUUCAUACGUUGACGGUAUUUAACCAGAAAGUCACGGCUAACUACGUGCCAGCAGCCGCGGUAAUACGUAGGUGGCAAGCGUUAUCCGGAUUUAUUGGGCGUAAAGAGAGUGCAGGCGGUUUUUCUAAGUCUGAUGUGAAAGCCUUCGGCUUAACCGGAGAAGUGCAUCAGAAACUGGAUAACUUGAGUGCAGAAGAGGGUAGUGGAACUCCAUGUGUAGCGGUGGAAUGCGUAGAUAUAUGGAAGAACACCAGUGGCGAAGGCGGCUACCUGGUCUGCAACUGACGCUGAGACUCGAAAGCAUGGGUAGCGAACAGGAUUAGAUACCCUGGUAGUCCAUGCCGUAAACGAUGAGUGCUAGGUGUUGGAGGGUUUCCGCC